GUGGGUAUAGCUCAGUGGUAGAGCACAUGCUUCACAUGCACAAGGUCCUGGGUUCUAUCCUCAGUACUUCCA
Molecule: transfer RNA, 72 nt
Filed under: Camelus bactrianus (Bactrian camel)
Lineage: Eukaryota; Metazoa; Chordata; Mammalia; Artiodactyla; Camelidae
Also listed under: 2 other names
Rfam family: tRNA
About the family: Transfer RNA (tRNA) molecules are approximately 80 nucleotides in length. Their secondary structure includes four short double-helical elements and three loops (D, anti-codon, and T loops).
Source: Rfam by way of RNAcentral